This 388-nucleotide unclassified non-coding RNA is filed under the name Hevea brasiliensis (rubber tree). The record is from RNAcentral. Lineage: Eukaryota; Viridiplantae; Streptophyta; Magnoliopsida; Malpighiales; Euphorbiaceae.
AUAAAAACCACCUCUUCUUCCCUAACACCAAAUUUUCUUUGGGGGAAGAGAGACUCAUAUGUGUAUCUAUUUGUAAUUAACAAGAAAGAGGGUAUCAGGGUUUUUGAUUUUCUUGAUGAAUUGAAACUUGAUCAUUCUACACUUGUUAAUUUCUGGAGGAAUUGGGGAAAAAAUUAAAAUGGAAUUGGUUGAUCAGUCUGAAUCUUCUCCUUUGGUUCCUCCUUCUGUGAUCACUGACACAAGUGAGAUCGAUCUUGAAGCUGGUUCUAGUGAACAGAUUCAGUGUAGGAUUUGUCUUGAGACUGAUGGUAGGGAUUUUAUUGCACCUUGCAAGUGUAAAGGUACAUCAAAGUUUGUUCAUCGGGAAUGCCUGGAUCAUUGGCGUGCA